This 73-nucleotide transfer RNA is filed under the name Caerostris darwini. RNAcentral's name for it is "tRNA-Glu". It matches the Rfam family "tRNA". From Rfam's summary of the family: Transfer RNA (tRNA) molecules are approximately 80 nucleotides in length. Their secondary structure includes four short double-helical elements and three loops (D, anti-codon, and T loops). Further hydrogen bonds mediate the characteristic L-shaped molecular structure. tRNAs have two regions of fundamental functional importance: the anti-codon, which is responsible for specific mRNA codon recognition, and the 3' end, to which the tRNAs corresponding amino acid is attached (by aminoacyl-tRNA synthetases). tRNAs cope with the degeneracy of the genetic code in two manners: having more than one tRNA (with a specific anti-codon) for a particular amino acid; and 'wobble' base-pairing, i.e. permitting non-standard base-pairing at the 3rd anti-codon position. Lineage: Eukaryota; Metazoa; Arthropoda; Arachnida; Araneae; Araneidae. The record is from RNAcentral.
UCCCAUGUGGUCUAGUGGUUAGGAUUUCUGGCUUUCACCCAGGGCGGCCCGGGUUCGAUUCCCGGCAUGGGAA